GAUGAACGCUGACCGAAUGCUUAACACAUGCAAGUCCACUUGAAUUUGGGUUUUUAACUUAGGUUUGGGUGGCGGACGGGUGAGUAACGCGUAAAGAACUUGCCUCACAGCUAGGGACAACAUUUGGAAACGAAUGCUAAUACCUAAUAUUAUGAUAAUAGGGCAUCCUAUAAUUAUGAAAGCUAUAAGCGCUGUGAGAGAGCUUUGCGUCCCAUUAGCUAGUUGGAGAGGUAACGGCUCACCAAGGCGAUGAUGGGUAGCCGGCCUGAGAGGGUGAUCGGCCACAAGGGGACUGAGACACGGCCCUUACUCCUACGGGAGGCAGCAGUGGGGAAUAUUGGACAAUGGACCAAGAGUCUGAUCCAGCAAUUCUGUGUGCACGAUGAAGUUUUUCGGAAUGUAAAGUGCUUUCAGUUGGGAAGAAAGAAAUGACGGUACCAACAGAAGAAGCGACGGCUAAAUACGUG
Molecule: ribosomal RNA, 467 nt
Filed under: uncultured bacterium
Lineage: Bacteria
Description: partial 16S ribosomal RNA
Rfam family: Bacterial small subunit ribosomal RNA
Source: RNAcentral